UACGUAGGGUCCGAGCGUUGUCCGGAAUUACUGGGCGUAAAGAGCUCGUAGGCGGUGUGUCGCGUCGGCCGUGAAAACUUGGGGCUUAACCCUGAGCUUGCGGUCGAUACGGGCAUGACUGGAGUUCGGCAGGGGAGACUGGAAUUCCUGGUGUAGCGGUGAAAUGCGCAGAUAUCAGGAGGAACACCGGUGGCGAAGGCGGGUCUCUGGGCCGAUACUGACGCUGAGGAGCGAAAGCGUGGGGAGCGAACAGG
This 254-nucleotide ribosomal RNA is filed under the name uncultured bacterium. RNAcentral's name for it is "partial 16S ribosomal RNA". It matches the Rfam family "Bacterial small subunit ribosomal RNA", at positions 524 to 776 of the family's 1533-position model. The record is from RNAcentral.